This 2771-nucleotide long non-coding RNA is filed under the name Homo sapiens (human). RNAcentral describes it as "HSALNT0181416". The record is from RNAcentral. Lineage: Eukaryota; Metazoa; Chordata; Mammalia; Primates; Hominidae.
UAAUUUUUUGUGUAUUUUUAGUAGAGACGGGGUUUCACCGUGUUAGCCAGGAUGGUCUCGAUCUCUUGACCUUGCGAUCCGCCUGCCUCAGCCUCCCAAAGUGCUAGGAUUACAGGUGUGAGCCACCGCGCCUUGCCACAGUGCUAGCUUUUUAAGAAUAGCUUUAUUGAAGUAUAAUCAACAUACAAUAAACUGCACAAAUUUGAAGUAUAAAAUUUCAUACUUUUUUUUUGAGACGGAGUCUCGCACUCUCGCCUGGGCUAGAGUGCAGUGGUGCAAUCUCGGAUCACUGCAACCUCCGCCUCCCGGGUUCAAGCAAUUCUCUUGCCUCAGCCUCCUGAGUAGCUGGGAUUACAUGCACCCCCCCCACCACACCCAGCUAAUGUUUUGUAUUUUUAGUAGAGACGGGAUUUCACCAUGUUGGCCAGGCUGGUCUCGAACUCCUGACCUCGUGAUUCGCCCACCUCAAUAUAUGUCUGUGCCUGUGAAAUAAUGCCACAGUUAACGUAAUGAACAUUUCCACCAUUCCAAAAGUUUCCUCGUGCCUGUUUAUAAUCCCUCCUUCCACACACUUCAUGCCCUUUUCCAAUUCUGUCAACCAGUAAUCUUCUUUCUGUCUUUAUAGAUGAGUUUGCAUCUUCUAGAGUUUUAUAUAAGUGAAAUUAUGCAGCAUAUACUCUUGUUUUGUAUGUAUUCUUCCACUCAGCACAUUUAUUUUGUGAUAUCCAUGUUUUUGCAAGUAUCAACAGUUCAUUCCUUUUUAUUGCUAAGGAACAUUUCAUUGUAUGGAUAUACCACAAUUUGUAUAUUGAUUUACCUUUUGAUGGACAUGUGGGUUGUUUCUAUUUUUGGCUAUUAUAAAUAAAGAUGCUGUGAACAUUCAUGAACAAGUCUUUGUAUGGACAUAUGUUUUUUUUUCUCUUGGAAGAAUACCUACGAAUGGAAUGGCUGGGUUAUAUGGUUUCAAAGUAAGCCUAGCACAGAGAAGGAACUCAUCUCAGAUUUUGAGUGUACUUUUUCUACUUAUUAAAACAGCCUCAGGCAGGUCCUGCAGGAGGUAUUCCAGAAGAGGGCGUUGUUAUUAUAGGAGAUGACCCCCCCAUGUUACUGCUGCUGUGCACCUCACUGUCAGACAGGAUGUGAAGGUGGAAGACAGUGAUAUUGAUGAUCCUGACCCUGUGUAGGCCUAGAGUAAUGUGUGUGUUUGUGUCUUAAUUUUUAGCAAAAUUUAAAAAGAAAAAUAAUUUAAAAUUAGAAGAAAGCUUAUAAAGAUAUAAAGAAAAAAGUGUUUUCGUACAGCAAGUGCAAAUGUUUAUAAACUUUAUAAUAGUGUGUAUAAUGUCCUAGGCCUUCGCAUUUACUCACCACUCACUGACUCAGUCAGAGCAACUUCCAGUCCUGCAAGCUCCAUUUAUGGUAAGUACCCUAUACAGGUGUACCAUUGUUUAUCUUUUAUACUAUAUUUUAACCGUACUUUUUCUAUGUUUAGAUAUGUUUAAAUACACAAAUAUUUAUCAUUGUGUUACAGUUGCCUACAGUAUUCAAUACGAUAAAUGCUGUACAGGUUUGUAGCCUAGGAGCAAUAGGCAAUAUCAUAUAGCCUAGGUGUGUGGUAGGCUAUGCCAUCUAGGUUUGUGUAAGAACACUCUUGUACAACAACAACAUUGCUUGAUGCAUUUCUCAGAAUAUAUCCUUGUUAUUAAGCAAUGCAUAACUGUAUUUGGUAAAAUACAGAGAUAUUCCACAUAUUUUAUUAUGCUAUUAAGCAUCGUUUAAAAUAAUUUAUGUCAGUUAUAACUUGUUUAUUCUUUCACAUGAACAUUGAAAUCAUUGAGUUUACUUCUUAAGCAUUUCAUUGGUAUCUUCAUUUAAAUUGCCUUAUGUUUAUGUUAUAAAACAUACUAAUAAACAGGUUUUCUUUUUUGGGCCUCAGUGAAGUUUGGUAGUUUUCAUUAUAUAAGAUGUUUUGCAUUUCUUGUUAGGAUGUUUCUUAUGUAUUGCAUGUUUCUGAUUAUUGUUAAAGAUGGAACUUUUUUCCUGUUAAAUUUCUUAAGUGAUUACUGUUGAGAUCUAUGUAUAUCUAUUUUCUGUAUCGAUGUCAAUAUCUAUAUCUAUAUUGCUGAUUUUUGUAUCUUCUUAAACUAAUUAUCUUACUGACUUCUACUAGUACAUUUUCAUUUUGUUUACUCUGGUUUUUCCGUAUAGAGAAGAAUCACUUGAAAAUAGAGACACAUUUAUCCCCAUUUAACAAUAAUUUAUUGUAUAUUUUAAAAUAACUGAACAAAUGGAAUUGGAAUGUUUCUAACACAAAAAAAUGAUAAAUACUUGAGGUGAUAGAGAUCCCAAUUAUCCUGAUUUGAUCAUUAGACAUUGUAUGCUUGUAUCAGUAUAUCACAUGUACUACAUAAAUGUGUGUAACUAUUAUGUAUCUGUAAUAAUUAAUAAAAAACCAUCAAUUAAAAAAUUAUUGUCCUUCAUUACAUUGGCUAUAACUUACAGAAAAAUGCAAAAGAGUAAUGAGCACACUGCUCUUCUUCCUGAAUUUAAUGAGAGUGCACUCUGUAUUUUAUCAUUAACCAUAAUAUUGGCUAUCAAUAUGCAAUAACUAUUCUCUAUUAGAUUAAGGAAGUUUUCUUCUAUUUUCAGGCAGCUUUUGUAUUUAUUUUAAUAUUGCUUUCAUUUUAAUUAUUUUUAAUCUUUGCAAUUAUUGAAAUAAUUAUUUUUAAUCUUCAGAGGUAUUGAUGUGACUAAUUAAUUGACUGGUGUUUUUA